CCUACGGGAGGCAGCAGUGAGGAAUAUUGGUCAAUGGAGGCAACUCUGAACCAGCCAUGCCGCGUGAAGGAUGACGGCCCUAUGGGUUGUAAACUUCUUUUAUAUGGGAAGAAACUUAUCUACGUGUAGAUAACUGACGGUACCAU
RNAcentral lists this ribosomal RNA (146 nucleotides) under uncultured bacterium. RNAcentral's name for it is "partial 16S ribosomal RNA". It matches the Rfam family "Bacterial small subunit ribosomal RNA", at positions 338 to 481 of the family's 1533-position model. The record is from RNAcentral.